ACGCUCGACACCUACGGGGGCAGCAGUGGGGAAUAUUGCACAAUGGGGGAAACCCUGAUGCAGCGACGCCGCGUGAAGGAAGAAGUAUCUCGGUAUGUAAACUUCUAUCAGCAGGGAAGAAAAUGACGGUACCUGACUAAGAAGCCCCGGCUAACUACGUGCCAGCAGCGCGGUAAUCUGAGGCGGGCUGGCAAGGC
Molecule: ribosomal RNA, 197 nt
Filed under: uncultured bacterium
Lineage: Bacteria
Description: partial 16S ribosomal RNA
Rfam family: Bacterial small subunit ribosomal RNA
Source: RNAcentral